RNAcentral lists this small nucleolar RNA (95 nucleotides) under Sorex araneus (European shrew). RNAcentral describes it as "Small Cajal body specific RNA 1 (ENSSARG00000019095.1)". It matches the Rfam family "Small Cajal body specific RNA 1", at positions 71 to 166 of the family's 166-position model. Rfam says of the family: scaRNAs are a specific class of small nuclear RNAs which localise to the Cajal bodies and guide the modification of RNA polymerase II transcribed spliceosomal RNAs U1, U2, U4, U5 and U12. ACA35 belong to the H/ACA box class of guide RNAs as it has the predicted hairpin-hinge-hairpin-tail structure, conserved H/ACA-box motifs and is found associated with GAR1. Lineage: Eukaryota; Metazoa; Chordata; Mammalia; Eulipotyphla; Soricidae. The record is from RNAcentral.
NGGGGUUUAAAAAAUGCAAUAUUUAAAAAACGGCCAUGUCGUCUUAUAAGUCCUGGUGUAAAGCCACUCUGAGUUUGUAACUCACAGGUACAACU